Molecule: ribosomal RNA, 2930 nt
Filed under: Triticum aestivum (bread wheat)
Lineage: Eukaryota; Viridiplantae; Streptophyta; Magnoliopsida; Poales; Poaceae
Description: partial small subunit ribosomal RNA
Source: RNAcentral
GUGUGGGAGUCAGGGAGGAACCGCGUAGAGGUAGGUACCUUGCUUAAGCGCGUCUAUCUAUCCUGAUCCUCAUCUAUCGAAAACGGACAAAGGACGUCGGCGGGCCUUUAGUCAUUUUCGGCUCACAAUACACACUAACUAAAGACCUCGUUACCUAGAACUCAACCCCUCCCCGUACUCUAGGGGCGUCUCCCUGAGUACCUUCUGGUGGUACCAGGACCGUAUGGUCUCGGACCCCCACCACAUGCCCCUGGAGUCGUAGAGGGGGGAGAUGCAGAAGUUCUCGUGGAAGCGACUCCUGUAGGUCGUGAGCCUGUGGUUGCUCCUCUAGAAGCCGCAGGAGAGGAAGCAGAAGACCUGCGAGUGGGAGUAGGGAGAGUAGUUCAUGCAGAGGUAACAGGAGGCUCGGCUGCUGUUACCGCUCCCUCCCUGCAAGCGGGAGAUGAGAGACUAAACGGCCGUACGGUUACACUCGGAGGACGGGUUGUCCGUCUAACGCCUGCUCCUCGAGAGGUGGAUGUUCGACCUCGCGUUGGGACUCUGGCACCUGUUCUGGGCGCAGUUCCACACCGACCUCUUCGUGUUCUUGGACGUGUGGCGGGAGGAGUAGUACCAAGAGUAACCGUGGACAUACCAGUAACCCCUGCCACAGGAGUGCGGCCGAUAUAGACACAAAAGUCGACACAGUCCGGAACUCAAGAGGAACAGGUUUCUAGUGGUACUUAUACGGCAGUAAGGUUAUUGUACGCAUUAUAAUCGUAAAGAUAAACGGGAGGUCGUAAAACCGUGUGUAGCUCAGCCUAAAUAGAAACGGGGCUAUCAAGAUCGGACCGAUGAGACGUACUCACGAGAACCGGAAAUAUUAUAGUAUGUAACCUUAGGAGUGCAGAUAGUUCGAGACUUAGGGAUAAUGUACAAGUUCAAGGAUUUCUUCUGAUCCUUUAUACCGACCUACAGUGAGCCACCUUAAAACGAGACGUACUGUCCCAGACUUCGUUACAAGCGGCUAGAACCUGUGAAGAGUAUGUCGCGUUAGGUCGAACGAAAGUGAAGAAACCAAAUGGGACGCAACUAAGACCGUAUGUACCCAGUCCGUCGAAUGAAUAGUUUUGUAGUACUGAAAAUGAGUUUGAGAGUUCAACCUAAAAUGUAUCGUCAAGGUCUAUUCCACUCUACCGGACAAGAACAUGACCGAUAAGACCGAAGUCAACAACCUUCGGUUCGUUAGUAGUCGCCUUGUAAGAGUUAUUAGUUAGUCUCAGUCAGGGAUUCGACGAAGGGGGCCCAUUUUCAACAUGUGUGUAGACUCUUUUAAGUACCCGUCUAUAUGUAAGGACUCUAGUUGACCGAUGAGUACUAGGAGACGCAACGGCACUGACAACCUAAGUCUCUGUGAUUCGUGUACCCUUUACGUAGGCCUGAUCGUCACUAGUGACACUACGACCAAUGGUGUAAGGACUGUAGGGAACACUAGUACCACACGACCGUGUUCGGUGGGGACGACCGGGACCCGAAGGAGGAGAAGAAGCCGAGGCACCUCCGCGAGAUGAAGAGCCGCAGCGAGUAGUUCAAGGACCUCCCGCGUACCGAGGGCUAUGAGGACCGGGAGUAGGACUACCGGCAGUACGAGCACACCGUGUAGUGGUGGUAGUUCUUCAUGCUCAAGCUGGACGUCUUGUUCCACUGGGACCUCACCGAAGACCGGGACCCACUGUUCGAGCCGUACCAGGCACACGGCCCGUAACCGGAGCAGAUGUGGCUGGACUGCAGCCCGCAGGGACGGUUGAAGAGGGCGAAGCAGUGGUUGGAGGGCCGCAAGGUAUUCCAGGACCAGAAGCACACGCAGUUCAGCCAGGGCCACGGCAUACACAAGGGGCGGCUCGCGAUGGAGCAGCCGGCUCACCCAGGCGGCCCGGUGGCCAGCAUGGCCACGUAGCACGCCAUGCCGAUGGCACUACAAGUGGUCCUGCACCUGAGCAAGCUCUGCCUCGACUAGCUCUCGGACCGGUACAAGUAGUUCGAGUUGCGGAGGAUGGCGACGUCGCUCCACUCGGUCUCGCUCGUCGACCUCCUCACCCUCGGCCCCGACUGGCAGUAGCCUUCGUUGUGCGAGGCCCUAGUGCGCUCGAUGCUGAACGUCCUGUCACAGGUCGUGAGCCGGCGCAGGCAGGGACGGCGGCUGUCGGGGCCGCCGUGCCCAAACCUCAGGUUGAGCAGGUUCGUCCACUCCAAGAAGUAUCUAUCGGACCACCACUCGGGGCUCCGCCUGUUCGUCCACCGCCUCCUCGACCUCCGCGACCGCCGCCGCUCCCUCCGGCCGUGACGGAAGUAGAACCCCGUGAGCGUGCACGUCACGUUCGGACCGAGCAGCCACCACUUCUUCGACUGCCACCAGCCCAUGUUGAAGGACGCCGCGUUGACGGCACCUGGCCUGCACCACGACGCCCACGGCGGCCGCAGCGAGGACCUCCAGCCGUACCAGAUACAAGAUACUUUGGAGAAGCAAAACCGUACACAAAUAGUAGAGUGUUUAGACGGGUACGUAGGUGGACGAACAACCGACAACAACGAGACAUCCAUUGAUUUGAACAGUCAAUACAACAUUACGGGGGGCCUAAUAAAACGUAGGCCGACAUAUCAAAUGUUGAAGCCUAACAACGAGGACGACGAGUAUGUGUAAAGCACAUGUUGACGUCUCGUGUACAACAUAACACAAGAGCUAUACUGCGCCUCACGCGAGUGGUUGGGUUCAAGAGAAACACGAUCUUCAUCAUUGAAUAUCUGAUCAUUUUACGUAUACGAUGAUCAGAUAUAAUGAUAGAGAUAUCACCUCACAUUGUAUACACACCACAGUACGUUGUAAAAUAAAUAAUCCAAUAUUUGAGUAGAAUAGAACCAUACACACUAUAAUGUCAUUGAUCGAUACAAUG